CUUAUACUCCCUCCGUCCAGAAAUACUUGUUGUCAAGAUGAAUAAAUUUUUUAGUUCUAGAUACACCCCUUUUUAUCCAUUUUCAUGACAAGUAUUUCCGGACGGAGGGAGUAUUUG
This is a non-coding RNA of Triticum aestivum (bread wheat), 117 nucleotides long. The record is from Rfam. NCBI's taxonomy places the organism in Eukaryota, Viridiplantae, Streptophyta, Magnoliopsida, Poales, Poaceae.